Long non-coding RNA from Homo sapiens (human), 496 nucleotides. The record is from Ensembl. NCBI's taxonomy places the organism in Eukaryota, Metazoa, Chordata, Mammalia, Primates, Hominidae.
GUAGCUAUAAAAUUUAGGAACUAUAUGUUCUCCCCCACUGCUUUAGAGUAACCUCUGGAUUUUUCCCAAGCCAUGACAGAAUGGCAUUAGACUUACUCUCCAAUCAAAAUACAACACAUGGCAAGACACACAAGGCAGCUAUUUUCAGGAACACACAGGCAGCAUUGUGAUCCUUGAGAGAAUACAAAGACUGAAAGUCUAAGAUCAAGAUGCCAGCAGAGUUGGUGUUUGGAGAGUGCUUCCCCUGUGGGUUGCAGACUUCUCACUAUAUCCUCAAGUGGCUUUUCCUCAGUGUGUGCACAAGGGAAGAAAGAGAGAGGGCUCUGGUCUCUCUUCUUACAAGAACAUUAAUCCUAUCAGAUCAGGGCCCCACCCUUGUAACCUGAUUUAACCUUAAUUACUUCCUUAAACACUCCAUCUCCAAAUACAGUCACACUGAGGAUUAGGGCUUCAAUAUGUGAAUCUGGGGGAGACAAACAUUCAGUCCAUAAUAAUA